GGUAGCAAUCGAAUAAGCCUUCAUAUAUCCUCGGCAAUAAGGGUCGGAAGUAUCUAGCGGAGCACCGUAAACGCUCCGACUAUGAAGGCGGGAAUCGCGACG
RNAcentral lists this non-coding RNA (102 nucleotides) under Salimicrobium flavidum. Its description in RNAcentral is "Guanine sequence". It matches the Rfam family "Purine riboswitch aptamer". Rfam says of the family: Riboswitches are metabolite binding domains within certain messenger RNAs that serve as precision sensors for their corresponding targets. Allosteric rearrangement of mRNA structure is mediated by ligand binding, and this results in modulation of gene expression. A class of riboswitches that selectively recognises guanine and becomes saturated at concentrations as low as 5 nM. Lineage: Bacteria; Bacillati; Bacillota; Bacilli; Caryophanales; Bacillaceae. The record is from RNAcentral.